GAUGAACGCUGGCGGCGUGCCUAACACAUGCAAGUCGAGCGAACAGACGAUGAGCUUGCUCCUCUUACGUUAGCGGCGGACGGGUGAGUAACACGUGGAUAACCCCCCUAUAAGACUGGGAUAACUUCGGGAAACCGGAGCUAAUACCGGAUAAUAUAUUCAACCGACUGGUUCAUUAGUGAAAGACGGAUUUGCUGUCACUGAUAGAUGGAUCCGCGCCGCAUUAGCUAGUUGGUAAGGUAACGGCCUACCAAGGCAACGAUCGGUAGCCGAGCUGAGAGGGAGAACGGCCACACAGAAUCUGAGAGACGGUCCAGACACCUACGGAAGGCAGGCAGAGGGAAUGUACCGCAAUGGGCGAGAGCCUGACGGAGCAACGCAGGGUGAGUGAUGAAGGUCUUCGGUAUGGAAAGCAAUGCUAUUAGGGAAGAACAAAUGUGUAAGUACCUAUGCACGUCUGGACGGUACCUAAGAAGAAAGCCACGGCGAAUUACGU
This 496-nucleotide ribosomal RNA is filed under the name uncultured bacterium. RNAcentral describes it as "partial 16S ribosomal RNA". It matches the Rfam family "Bacterial small subunit ribosomal RNA", at positions 28 to 506 of the family's 1533-position model. The record is from RNAcentral.